CCUACGGGUGGCAGCAGUGGGGGAUAUUGCACAAUGGGGGGAACCCUGAUGCAGCGACGCCGCGUGGGUGAAGGAGUAUUUCGGUAUGUAAAGCCCUAUCGGCAGGGAAGAAAUUGGACGGUACCUGACUAAGAAGCCCCGUCUAACUACGUGCCAGCAGCCGCGGUAAUACGUAGGGGGCAAGCGUUAUCCGGAUUCACUGGGUGUAAAGGGAGCGUAGACGGCAAUGCAAGCCAGGGGUGAAAGCCCGGGGCUCAACCCCGGGACUGCCCUUGGAACUGCAUGGCUGGAGUGCGGGAGGGGCAGGCGGAAUUCCUGGUGUAGCGGUGAAAUGCGUAGAUAUCAGGAGGAACACCGGCGGCGAAGGCGGCCUGCUGGACCGUGACUGACGUUGAGGCUCGAAAGCGUGGGGAGCGAACAGGAUUAGAUACCCUAGUAGUC
RNAcentral lists this ribosomal RNA (441 nucleotides) under uncultured bacterium. RNAcentral's name for it is "partial 16S ribosomal RNA". It matches the Rfam family "Bacterial small subunit ribosomal RNA", at positions 338 to 795 of the family's 1533-position model. The record is from RNAcentral.